This 133-nucleotide ribosomal RNA is filed under the name uncultured bacterium. RNAcentral describes it as "partial 16S ribosomal RNA". It matches the Rfam family "Bacterial small subunit ribosomal RNA", at positions 373 to 527 of the family's 1533-position model. The record is from RNAcentral.
GGGGGCAGCUGAUGAGCAUGCCGCGUGAGUGAUGAAGGCCUUCGGGUUGUAAAGCUCUUUUGUCAGGGAAGAAAAUGACGGGGCCUGGAGAAUAAGCCCCGGACCGUUUCUUGCCAGCAGGCGCGGUAAUACG